This is a long non-coding RNA of Camelus dromedarius (Arabian camel), 1198 nucleotides long. RefSeq lists it as uncharacterized. NCBI's taxonomy places the organism in Eukaryota, Metazoa, Chordata, Mammalia, Artiodactyla, Camelidae. The record is from RefSeq and is a predicted model, not a curated record. The transcript has 3 exons.
CCACAGGGCUCUCAGCUUAUGCUCUGAGUCCUACAAAGAAUGCUGUUAAUUCACUGAUGUCACGCAUCUGAUGCCUGUGAGUCACUCACCCACUCAGCUGGCUCGGACUGAGACCUACUUUAUACCAGCUGCCGAUCCAAGUGCUGGGGAGACCCCAGAGGGAGCCUGGAUCACAGCAUCACUGUCCUUCUUCAUUUGCUCCCAGAAUCCUACUCAAGAAAUCCACAUGGAAUUUGGGGUGUGGAGGCAGAUGAGGAAGUGGAGCCACGUGGAGAUGAUGCAAUUUGCCCCAAAUGAAGCAACUAUUAAGUGAAAGAACUGAAAUACUCAAAGAGCCCAAAGACACACUAACUGUAUAGCACUGUCUCCUACAUGGAUGAGGGCCACGCUGCUUUGUGCACAUCUCAACCGGAAGUGGGAGCAGUGACCGGAACUUAGUUCAAGACAAAGGGGCACCUAGUCUACGAUGAAAAGGAGGCUGCAAUAAUGAAGGCACAUGUGAAACAAUGGGAGUCAACUAUAAAACCAGUGUGUCUUUCCUUCUAUAUACAUGUCAUAGUGGCUAAUUUUUUUUUUUGCAUUUUUUUAUUGGUGUUAUGAAAGGAUACAAAUCAAUGCUUCUUUUCUUAUAUAUUUAUGCCAGACUUUUUCUUUUCCCCAUUUUUACUGUUAUUAUGAAGGAAGGACCACACUUCUCUUCUGUGUCCACCAUUCCGGGAAGUGCUCCUUCACCUUGGCUGCACAUUAGAAUAACCAGAGGAGCUUUAAAAACUUCCCUAUGCCAGAAUGCACCCCAGGCCACUAAGUACCAUCAGAGUUUGCAGUGAUGGAAUCCAGGCACCAAAAUUUUUUAAGGUCCCCUGGUGAUUCCAACAUGCAGCCAAGGCUGACAAGCCUAGAAGUAAACAGACUAAAGUGCAUCUAAACAGGGCCCACUUUUCCUGGGUACUCAUCUGUCUCCACGUGGGGACACGGCACCUCCUAUUCUGGCCGGACUUGUUCUUCCUGCUCAACCGUGUCCUGUUUGUACUCAAGUUCUGCCUGGUGCUGCUUCCAGAACUCCAGAAGUAAGGUGACUAAGAGAGAGAAAGAACAGCAGAAUGUGGAUCUUCAGUGAUGACUGAUGCUUCAGAAAUCUGUACUUAAUAUUUAUUACCCUUAACACUUUGGUUAAUGGUUAAUAAAAUCACAUUUUAUU